RNAcentral lists this ribosomal RNA (530 nucleotides) under uncultured bacterium. RNAcentral describes it as "bacterial SSU rRNA". It matches the Rfam family "Bacterial small subunit ribosomal RNA", at positions 355 to 896 of the family's 1533-position model. The record is from RNAcentral.
UGGGGAAUAUUGCACAAUGGGCGGAAGCCUGAUGCAGCGACGCCGCGUGGGGGAUGAAGGCCUUCGGGUUGUAAACUUCUUUCGACAGGGACGAAGCUUUUGUGACGGUACCUGUAUAAGAAGCACCGGCUAACUACGUGCCAGCAGCCGCGGUAAUACGUAGGGUGCGAGCGUUGUCCGGAAUUACUGGGCGUAAAGAGCUCGUAGGUGGUUUGUCGCGUCGUCUGUGAAAUUCCGGGGCUUAACUCCGGGCGUGCAGGCGAUACGGGCUGACUUGAGUGCUGUAGGGGAGACUGGAAUUCCUGGUGUAGCGGUGAAAUGCGCAGAUAUCAGGAGGAACACCGAUGGCGAAGGCAGGUCUCUGGGCAGUAACUGACGCUGAGGAGCGAAAGCAUGGGUAGCGAACAGGAUUAGAUACCCUGGUAGUCCAUGCCGUAAACGGUGGGCGCUAGGUGUAGGGGGCUUCCACGUCUUCUGUGCCGUAGCUAACGCGUUAAGCGCCCCGCCUGGGGAGUACGGCCGCAAGGCUA